UACAGAGGUCCCAAGCGUUGUUCGGAUUCACUGGGCGUAAAGGGUGCGUAGGUGGCUGGGUAAGUCUGAUGUGAAAUCUCCGAGCUUAACUCGGAAACUGCAUUGGAUACUGCUCGGCUUGAGGGUUGGAGGGAGGACUGGAAUACUUGGUGUAGCAGUGAAAUGCGUAGAUAUCAAGUGGAACACCAGUGGCGAAGGCGAGUCCUUGGACAACUCCUGACACUGAGGCACGAAAGCUAGGGGAGCAAACAGG
Molecule: ribosomal RNA, 253 nt
Filed under: uncultured bacterium
Lineage: Bacteria
Description: partial 16S ribosomal RNA
Rfam family: Bacterial small subunit ribosomal RNA
Source: RNAcentral